Molecule: unclassified non-coding RNA, 1532 nt
Filed under: uncultured fungus
Lineage: Eukaryota; Fungi
Description: sequence contains 18S rRNA gene, ITS1, 5.8S rRNA gene, ITS2, 28S rRNA gene
Rfam family: Eukaryotic large subunit ribosomal RNA (bases 572-1532)
Source: RNAcentral
GGAAGGAUCAUUAGGGAGAACCUUGGGCCUCUCACACUGCUGAGCCCAAUCUUCAGCCCCCUUUUUUUUCUGAGACUCCUCAGUUGCUUUGGCAGGGUUGGUUGCAGAGAGAGAUCUGCUGGAAUGGGCCCUGCCAGUGGACAGCACUUUGCUGUCUUGACACUGAAAUUAUCAAAUACACAUAUCAUACUCUGAGACAAGUCAUUGAUCAAACAAUUCAAGCUCUUAAAACCUUUGACAAUGGAUCUCUUGGUUCUGGCAUCGAUGAAGAACGCAGCGAAAUGUGAUACGUAAUGUGAAUUGCAGAAUCUAGUGAACCAUUGAAUCUUUGAAUGCACAUUGUGCCCUCUGGCUCAGUUUCUGAGCAGGGGGGCAUGCCUGUCUGAGUGUCAAUACAAACAUCAAGCCUGGCUUGGUUUCGGGGUGCAUCAUUUGAUUGAUGGCCCUCUGACAUGUGUUGGGUGGUCUGACUUUUCCAGCUUUUUCAAUCACAGAGUAGAUUGUGAGCAGGGGCAUGGUUGGAUGUAUUCACCCUGAGUGUUGGGCUCUGCCUGCUCUCAUCCAAGUUUUAUAACCUCAGAUCAGGUAGGGAUACCUGCUGAACUUAAGCAUAUCAAUAAGCAGAGGAAAAGAAACCAACAGGGAUUGCCUCAGUAACGGCGAGUGAAGCGGCAUCAGCCCAAAUUUGGAAUCCAGCAACCGCUGGAGUUGUAAUUUGCAGAGGAUGCUUUGGCAGCCUGUCUUGCUGGCUUUAUGUUCCCUGGAAUGGGAUGUCACAGAGGGUGAGAACCCCGUGAAGGCCAGUGGCAGGGUGCCAGUACAAAGCUCCUUCAAUGAGUCGGGUUGUUUGGGAAUGCAGCUCCAAGUGGGAGGUAAACCCCUUCCAAGGCUAAAUAUUGGCCAGAGACCGAUAGCGCACAAGUAGAGUGAUUGAAAGAUGAAAAGCACUUUGGAAAGAGAGUUAAACAGUAUGUGAAAUUGUCAAAGGGGAAGCGCUCACAGUCAGACUGAGGCACAGGUGCAAGGCCAGGCUCUCCUGCCUGGCUUGCUCAUCUGUGCCUGGGCCAGUGUCAGUCUGAGGGGUGGGAGAAAGGCAGUGGGGGCACAGCUGUGUCUGCAAGGGUAUGGCUGGGCUAUGCCUGCUGUGCCAUGCAACCACCUUGGACUGAGGACUGCGCCGCAAGGCAAGGACACUGGCAUAAUGGCUGUGAGCGGCCCGUCUUGAAACACGGACCAAGGAGUCCAACGUCCAUGCGAGUGUCUGGGUGUCAAGCCCACAUGCGAAAUGAAAGUGAAUGGGGGGGCAGGAGCCUGUUUUGUCAGGUGCACUGUCGACCGAUCCUGAUGUUCUCGGAUGGAUUUGAGUAAGAGCAUGGCCGCUGGGACCCGAAAGAUGGUGAACUAUGCCUGUGUAGGCUGAAGUCAGAGGAAACUCUGAUGGAGGGCCGCAGCGGUUCUGACGUGCAAAUCGAUCGUCAAACAUGGGUAUAGGGGCGAAAGACCAAUCGAACCAUCUAGUAGCUGGUUCACGC